This 3453-nucleotide long non-coding RNA is filed under the name Sus scrofa (pig). RNAcentral's name for it is "lncRNA (ENSSSCG00050051624.1)". Lineage: Eukaryota; Metazoa; Chordata; Mammalia; Artiodactyla; Suidae. The record is from RNAcentral.
GCCACAGCAACACAGGAUCCGAGCCACAUCUGCGACCUACACCACAGCUCAUGGCAAUGCUAGAUACCCAUACUACUGAGCAAGGACAGGGAUCUAACCCACUUCCUCAUGGAUACUAGUCAGAUUCAUUUCUGCUGCGCCACAACGGAAACUUCCUGUUUUUUUUUUUUUUCCUUAAUUCCUAGAGAAUGAAAUAAUGCCAUUUGCAGCAACAUGAAUGGACCUAGAGAUUAUCAUACUAAGUGAAGUCAGAGAAAGAUGAAUAUCAUAUAUAUAUCACAUAUAUGAAGACUUAAAAAUAAUACAAAUCAACUUAUUUACAAAACAGAAACAGACUCAGACAUAGAAAACAAACUUAUGGUUACCAAAGGGCAAAGGGGAAGGGAUAAACUCGGAGUGUGGGAUUAACAUAUACACACGACUGUACAUACAAUAGAUAAACAAGGAUUUACUGUAUAGCACAUACAACUAUAUUCAACAUCUUGUAAUAACCGAUAAUGGAAAAGAAUCUAAAGCUGUACACCUGAAACAGACACAGUAUUGUAAAUCAACUAUAGUUAAAUAUAAACAAACAAACAGGCUUAUUUCUGUCUGCAUGUGCUGCUGGCUAAGGUUACAUAUGAGAAACCACCCUGUAACAAACUUAUAAAAGGAGGAGGGGAAAAAAAAAUCUUUUCUGGUAUUUUGUUUUAUGGCUCAUGUUUUAAGAGAUGUUUUCUUCCAGUUAAUGUGCUUGAAAGCUUCUUCCCAAAUCUACUGCCCUUUGUUUUUAACUAGAAGGAAAGGGCACAAUUCUUAAUUCUCCUUAAUCGGAGUUAUUACAUUUUCUAGCAUUUAAGGUAAUGUAAGUAUUAUAUUCUGAUGGGAGAAUAAUGUUUUAAGAAUAAUGAAAUUAUGGCAGAAGCAUUUAGAUAUAAUUACAUAGCCAUAAAAAUUUCAAUUAGGCUUUCUUUACAUUGCAAUUAAUGCUGCAUUUGAACACUGGCAUUUGUGAGGCCCUAGGUUUCACUUGUUUCUUGCUUUUUAAAAGUAGCAUAUGCCAAGGGGGAGGGGAAGGGAGUGGGAUGGAUUGGGAGCUUGGGGUUAAUAGAUGUAGACUAUUGCCUUUGGAACGGAUUAGCAAUGAGAUCCUGCGGGUAGCACUGGUAACCAUGUCUAGUCACUUAUGAUAGAGCAUGAUAAUAUGAGAAAAAAGAAUAUAUACAUGUAUGUGUAACUAGGUCACUGUGCUGUACAGUAGAAAAUUGACUGAACACUAUAAUCCAGCUAUAAUGGAAAAAACCAAAAAUCAUCAUAUAGAAAAAAAAAUUUAAAUAAAUAAAAGUAACAUAAGCAGUAUUUUUUCCUUUUGUUUUUAUGUUAGUGUGAGAAUACUCAUGGAAAAUUGAAUUAAAAUCUAAAACUUCCUAUAAAAUAAGCAAAAAGUAAAAUAUACUUUUUAAGUUCUAAUUCAUAAUUAUGCCUUAUAUUAGUUUUCUGCUGCUGCUUAAAAAAUUAACUCAGAACUUUCCAAUCAAAAAUAUGUAUUAGCCACAUAGUGUCUGAAGGUGAGGAAUCCUAGAGCAACUUAGCUGCAUGGUUCUAGCAAAGGCCUCUCAUGAGUUGUCAAUCAAGCUAUCUUCCAGGGCUGUAGUCUUCUGAAGCCUUAACUUAAGCCUCCAAGUGAGGGAUCCACUUGCAUUUUGGCUGUUGGCAAGAAGUCUCAUAUCCUUACUGGGUGUUGGCAGAAACAGAAGCCUCACACGUGGAUCUCUCCACAGGGCUGCUUAAGUGUCCUCGCUAUAUGGCAGUUGACUGCUGCCAGUGUUAAUAAUCUAAAACAGGAAGUCUGAAGCCUCAUUGUCUUUUAUGGACCAAGCUUGAAGUCACAUAGCCAUACUUCUGCAUUACUGUGUUCAUUAGAAGAGAGUCAAUAAGUCCAGCCUGUAUCCAAGAGGUAGGAAAUGAGAUUCCACCUCUUGAAGACUAUAAGGCAGUACCAAAGAAUGUGGGUAGUUACAGGUACUUACUUUUUUUUUUUUUCCAUUAUUUUUAAGGCCCCACCGUGGCAUAGGGAAGUUCCCAGGCCAGGGGUCGAAUCAGAGCUGCAGCUACCAGCCUACGCCACAGCCAUAGCAACAUCAGAUCUGAGCCGCAUCUGCAACCUACACCACAGCUCACUGCAACGCUGGAUUCUUAACCCAUUGAGUGAGGCCAGGGAUCAAACCCACAUCCUCACAGACACUAUGUCGGGUUCUUAACUUGCUGAGCCACAGUGGGAACUGCAUGUGUGUACGUAUUUUAAUCCAAAAUGUACAUGGGAUGCUUUAGCCUAACUAGCUUAACUGAUCUGUUUAUUUUAUUCUAUUAUUGUCAAAUAGGAGAAGGCAAAGCUGUACUUAGAACCUGAAUAGAACUUGUAUGCUGAGGUUCAUAGUCCAAUGUCAAAGUUGCAGUAUACUUUUCCUCCCCAAGUUUCUUGGAAUUCUAUUACACAGUAGUUAUAAUUUUGUGCCUGACAUGUUUUCCCCACUAAGAAAUCUCCUUUGUGAGAUCCAAAAUCAAAAAAUGAACGUUAUCCUCUGCUUCCUAAGAUUUCUGCUAGGCUCACUGUGAAACAAGAGCUAAAGAAAACUCAGGUGGUCCCUUUACUCUGAAAGAAAGAGGCAGAAAAGUCUAAUAGUGGGUGCUCUGUAGCUUUGCUUUGACAAAUGGAGACAUUCUAUUUGAAACAACUCCUUGCCCUCUGCUUUCUCCUAUCUGCAUUAUUUUUUCUGGAUGAUUUCAUGCAAUUCAACGAGGCUGAUCUCUAGCCCAUACUUCUCCAUGAUCUUCAGAUUUGUGUAUCCAGCUGCCUACUCCACAUCUCUCUGGCAUGAUUAAUUGGCUCCUCAAACCUGCCAUGUCCAAAGUAGAAUAUUUCUUUCAGAGUCACGGGGAAGAAGAAAAGUAGUGAGAUAAGCCUGCAGAAAACUGAGCCCUCAUUACUUUCCCUGAAAAAUGGGCUGCCACCAAGUGGUGGUGGGGCUGCUGGGCUGCCUCCUCCACUGGUUGUGCUGCUCCUUGUGCAGAGAGGACAGGAGUGGAUGUCGCCCAUUCCUCUGGCAGCAAGAAGAAUUUCCCAGUUGGGCUCCAAGCUGAAAACAGAUUUCCCCUACUUGGAUGUCAUGGCACUGCCUAUGUGACAGCAUUCAUCAUCCCUCAUGGCUGCAGGAAUAUUUGCCAGCACAGGGGAUUACUCAUCCAUCAUUUAUGCUCAAGAUUGUGUGGGCAACAUGAGCAAGAAAUUCCUAUGGUGUAACCUGAAGGUACUUGAAGGCCUCUUUACUCCAAAAAUACCUUCCUGUCAGGUCCUACCAUUUUCUGGUCCUCGCCAUAUCAUUAUGCCUCCUUAAAAGUCCCUUUUCAGGGCCUAACACUUCUCAAGUCCUUCCAGGGAAGUUGGUCCCAAAGGCCAACUUGCGGGUUUUGUUC